This is a non-coding RNA of Triticum urartu, 115 nucleotides long. NCBI's taxonomy places the organism in Eukaryota, Viridiplantae, Streptophyta, Magnoliopsida, Poales, Poaceae. The record is from Rfam.
UAGGUACUCCCUCCGUUUCAAAUUACUCGUCGUAGAAAUGAAUGUAUUUAGAUGUAUUUUAGUUCUAGAUACAUUUAUUUCUGCAACGAGUAAUUUGGAACGGAGGGAGUAGGUA